Molecule: ribosomal RNA, 472 nt
Filed under: uncultured bacterium
Lineage: Bacteria
Description: bacterial SSU rRNA
Rfam family: Bacterial small subunit ribosomal RNA
Source: RNAcentral
CAUCGAGACUCCUACGGGAGGCAGCAGUGGGGAAUAUUGCGCAAUGGGGGAAACCCUGAUGCAGCCAUGCCGCGUGUGUGAAGAAGGCCUUCGGGUUGUAAAGCACUUUCAGUAGGGAGGAAGGUAGUGUAGUUAACACCUGCAUUAUUUGACGUUACCUACAGAAGAAGCACCGGCUAACUCCGUGCCAGCAGCCGCGGUAAUACGGAGGGUGCGAGCGUUAAUCGGAAUUACUGGGCGUAAAGCGCAUGCAGGCGGCCUGUUAAGUCAGAUGUGAAAGCCUGGGGCUUAACCUCGGAAUUGCAUUUGAAACUGGCAGGCUAGAGUCUUGUAGAGGGGGUAGAAUUUCAGGUGUAGCGGUGAAAUGCGUAGAGAUCUGAAGGAAUACCAGUGGCGAAGGCGGCCCCCUGGACAAAGACUGACGCUCAGAUGCGAAAGCGUGGGGAGCAAACAGGAUUAGAUACCCUGGUAG